AAUGACAGAAAUGAUGAAGAAGAUGGUAUGUCUGGAAUCUGUGCAAAAGAAUCCUAAGCUUACACUGACAAGGCCCAAGGAUCCUGAACUUGAAACAGCUCAACGUUACAGUCCAGUAAAACUUAAGAGCUCAGCUGAGUUGGAAGAAGAAAUGAUGGCAAAAUUCCCCAAGUUUAAGGCUCGCCCUCUAAAUAAGAAGUGGAGUAUUCUCCAUCGAUAGUUGGAAUGGAUGUUUCCCAUGGCAUUUUCAGGUAUUUCAUUCUUUUCACACAAACAGUAUAACCAGCCUGUCAGAGUAUGUGAACCCACUAUUGACUAAUUGAUUUAUUUGAAAACCUUUUUAAUGGAGAGAUGGUUAAUUUAUUAAUUUCAGCUUUGUGUUUACCUUUGUGAAUUUCUCUCUAUUGUUUUAUGCUUUGAAAUAAAUCUUGAAUGCAUGUAUAUAUAGGAUUUCACAAUUGGUCUGAUUCUUAAUUCUGUAAUAUGGGCACCAAUCCACUUGAAUUUGCAUAAUAAGCCUUAACUUUUGAGCCAUGUAUAAGGAUUGUUGAUAUGAAGAAGUGACUCCUCACGGGGAAGCCAAUUUGGUAUGUUUUGAGCCUUAACUUUUGAGCCAUGUAUAAGGAUUGUUGAUAGGAAGAAGUGACUCCUGACGGGGAAGCCAAUUUGGGAUCUGGUGACAAGCAGUUGGCUGUUCAUGGUUCUGUUUCUGCUGUAAUAUCUGUUCUCAAGGAUCCUGUAAGAAGCUGUCCUCACUUCAUGCACCCCUCAGCCACCAAAAAUUACUUCUCAGGAACCCCUCUGCAUUGAAGUCAGCAACCUUAUCACAAGUGAAAAGCAUUAAUCCAGAUAGUGCAAGAAGGAACGCAAAUAUUAAAAUGACAUCUGAAACUCCAAAUAUUGCUCAAGAAAAUCAAGCUAUAAAGAGGCAAAGACUUUUAGAGGGGAAAGCUAGACAGCAUGACCUGAGGUUCGUGAAUCAGAAGGGUUGGCAUUCCGCGCUCUCUACAUGACUGUUGGAAUGCAAGCAAUUGAUGAGAUUGUUCUGACACUUCUGCAUGCAAAAUGGAUGUUUGAUGUGGAUGGUUUAAAACAGAUUUUAAG
Molecule: RNA transcript, 1104 nt
Organism: Ipomoea nil (Japanese morning glory)
Lineage: Eukaryota; Viridiplantae; Streptophyta; Magnoliopsida; Solanales; Convolvulaceae
Exons: 8
Source: RefSeq, a predicted model, not a curated record